AGUGGGGAAUAAUUGGAGCAAUGGGCGAAAGACCUCGAUCCAAGCCAUGCCGCGUGUUGUGAAGAAGGUCUUCGGAAUUGUAAAGCAACUUUAAGUUGGGGAGGAAAGGGCAGUUACUUAAUACGUGAUUGUCUUGACGUUACCGACAAGAAUAAGCCACCGGCUAACUCUGUGCCAGCAGGCCGCGGGUAAUUACAGAGGGGUGCAAGCGUUAAUCGGAAAUUACUGGGCGUAAAGCCGCGCGUAGGUGGUUUGUUAAGUUGAAAUGUGAAAUCCCCGGGGCUCAACCUGGGAACUGCAUCCAAAACUGGGCAAGCUAGAGUAUGGUAGAAGGGUAGUGGAAUUUCCCUGUGUAGCGGUGAAAUGCGUAGAUAUAGGAAGGAACACCAGUGGCGAAGGCGACUACUUGGACUGAUACUGACACUGAGGUGCGAAAGCGUGGGGGAGCAAACAGGAUUAGAUACCCUGGUAGUUCCACGCCGUAAACGAUGUCAACUAGCCGUUGGGAGUCUUGAACUCUUAGUGGCGCAGCUUACGCAUUAAGUUGACCGCCUGGGGAGUACGGCCGCAAGGUUACAACUCAAAUGAAUUUGACGGGGGCCCGCACAAGCGGUGGAGCAUGUGGUUUUAAUUUCGAAGCACCGCGAAGAACCUUACCAGGCCUUGACAUCCAAUGAACUUU
RNAcentral lists this ribosomal RNA (682 nucleotides) under Pseudomonas sp. E11_ICE28. Its description in RNAcentral is "bacterial SSU rRNA". It matches the Rfam family "Bacterial small subunit ribosomal RNA", at positions 353 to 999 of the family's 1533-position model. The record is from RNAcentral. Lineage: Bacteria; Pseudomonadati; Pseudomonadota; Gammaproteobacteria; Pseudomonadales; Pseudomonadaceae.